This 426-nucleotide ribosomal RNA is filed under the name uncultured bacterium. RNAcentral describes it as "partial 16S ribosomal RNA". It matches the Rfam family "Bacterial small subunit ribosomal RNA", at positions 354 to 796 of the family's 1533-position model. The record is from RNAcentral.
GUGAGGAAUUUUCCGCAAUGGGCGAAAGCCUGACGGAGCAAUGCCGCGUGAAGGAUGAAGGCCUAUGGGUUGUAAACUUCUUUUCUCAGAAAAGAAUUAUGACGGUAUCUGAGGAAUAAGCAUCGGCUAACUCUGUGCCAGCAGCCGCGGUAAGACAGAGGAUGCAAGCGUUAUCCGGAAUGAUUGGGCGUAAAGCGUCUGUAGGUUGUUUAAAAAGUAUUCUGUCAAAGAUUAGGGGUUAACCCUAGAUAGGCAGAAUAAACUUUUAAGCUAGAGUUUGGUAGAGGCAGAGGGAAUUCCCGGUGGAGCGGUGAAAUGCGUAGAUAUCGGGAGGAACACCAAAGGCGAAGGCACUCUGCUGGGCCAAUACUAACACUGAGAGACGAAAGCGAGGGGAGCAAAUGGGAUUAGAAACCCCUGUAGUCC